CACAGGGAUUGCCUUAGUAACGGCGAGUGAAGCGGCAACAGCUCAAAUUUGAAAUCUGGCCUUUGGUCCGAGUUGUAAUUUGCAGAGGAUGCUUCGGGCGCGGUGCCUUCCAAGUCCCCUGGAACGGGGCGCCGGAGAGGGUGAGAGCCCCGUACGGUUGGCGGCCAAGCCUGUGUGAAGCUCCUUCGACGAGUCGAGUAGUUUGGGAAUGCUGCUCUAAGCGGGAGGUAGACCCCUUCUAAAGCUAAAUACCGGCCAGAGACCGAUAGCGCACAAGUAGAGUGAUCGAAAGAUGAAAAGCACUUUGAAAAGAGGGUUAAACAGCACGUGAAAUUGUUGAAAGGGAAGCGCUUGUGACCAGACGUGCGCCGGGGUGUUCAGCGGGCGUUCUCGCCCGUGCACUCGCCUCGGUGCAGGCCAGCGUCGGUUUGGGUGGGGGGAUAAAGGCGUCUGGAAUGUGGCUCCUCCGGGAGUGUUAUAGCCAGACGUGCCAUGCCUCCGCCUGGACCGAGGUACGCGUUCUGCAAGGACGCUGGCGUAAUGGUCUCCAGCGACCCGUCUUGAAACACGGACCAAGGAGUCGAGGUUUUGCGCGAGUGUUUGGGUGAAAAACCCGCACGCGUAAUGAAAGUGAACGUAGGUGAGAGCUUCGGCGCAUCACCGACCGAUCCUGAUGUUUUCGGAUGGAUUUGAGUAAGAGCGUAGGGCCUCGGACCCGAAAGAUGGUGAACUAUGCUUGGAUAGGGUGAAGCCAGAGGAAACUCUGGUGGAGGCUCGCAGCGGUUCUGACGUGCAAAUCGAUCGUCAAAUCUGAGCAUGGGGGCGAAAGACUAAUCGAACCAUCUAGUAGCUGGUUACCGCCGAG
This 865-nucleotide ribosomal RNA is filed under the name Chloridium sp. 5 JEH-2019. RNAcentral's name for it is "partial large subunit ribosomal RNA". It matches the Rfam family "Eukaryotic large subunit ribosomal RNA", at positions 67 to 965 of the family's 3401-position model. The record is from RNAcentral. Lineage: Eukaryota; Fungi; Ascomycota; Sordariomycetes; Chaetosphaeriales; Chaetosphaeriaceae.